This 116-nucleotide ribosomal RNA is filed under the name Periophthalmus magnuspinnatus. Lineage: Eukaryota; Metazoa; Chordata; Actinopteri; Gobiiformes; Gobiidae. The record is from RNAcentral.
UGCCAUGGCCAUACCGGCUUGUCAAAUCUCAUCAGAUCUCAGAAGGUAAACAAGGCUGGGCCUGGCUAGUACUUGGAUGGAAGACCUUUGUGUCCUUAGGCAAGACACUUUAGCUC